UGUAUUAAAGAAUUAAAUGGAUGAAAUAUGAAGUUUUAUUAAAAGAAAAAGGGGUGAAAAGAACAAAGUUUUGUCCAUCUUUGUUCAUCAUAGCUGAAAGUUAGAGAAGAGAAAGGAGAGGAGAAAGCUCUUGAGUAUUCGGUCAUUAGGAAGAGGAAAAUUGAAGGAAUCCCCAACCAUAGUGGGCUUGGACCUGUGAGGGAAUUCGGAGUGGCCACCCGUUCUGAAAGUUUGAUUUUCUUCUGGUGAACUGGACAUCCUUUUAAUUACGUUUGAGGUUUUGGGCUUUUAAAUGUAAUAAGGCCGCUUAUUUAUUUUUGAUGGUUUUUAAUAUGUAUUACUAAGAUAGGUAAUACUUAUUUUAA
Gossypium arboreum is the source of this 365-nucleotide long non-coding RNA. RefSeq lists it as uncharacterized. The transcript is spliced from 2 exons. The record is from RefSeq and is a predicted model, not a curated record. Lineage: Eukaryota; Viridiplantae; Streptophyta; Magnoliopsida; Malvales; Malvaceae.